UGGGGUAUCAAUUAAAUACAGGGAGCCCUAAAUCGGUCGUCUUCCCCAAAAUUUCCAAAGCCCAAAGGGCUUCUUCGAUUUCAAUGACGACGACGACGAGCAGUGAGAAGAAGAAGAAGACUCGGGAGUUGCCGAACCUGACGGAGUGCCAUUGCUGCCACCUCAGAGUCGACCUCGCCAAAUCCUCCCAGAACAACAAGCUUCAGAUUCUCUACAGCGAGUGGCGAAUCGUCCUCCUCUGCAACAAGUGCUUGGCCCGCGUCGAAUCCACCGAGCUCUGCUCCUACUGCUUCAACGACUCGUCGUCCGGCCACUGCUUCUCUUGCCGCCAGUGCAGGCGGCGAGUCCACAGGGACUGCGAUUCCGAGUACCGCAGCGCCGCCGUCUGGUCCGGGUCGUCGUCUGCGGCCGCCGACGAGGUCUCUGUCUGCGCCGAUUGCUGGGUGUCGGAGUCGCUGGCCAGGUGGAGGAGAAGUAGAAACGUCGGUAGUGGUAGAAAGAGUAGGGCGGAUUUGGGAUUGGGGAGAUCUAGGGUUUUGAAGUAUGAGAGGAAAUGUGAUCCAAAUUCGACUGAUUCAUCUACAGAGGAGGAGGCCGGGUGCUUGAGACUUGAUGGUGUUGAAGAAGAAGAAGAAGAAGAGAUUGGGGAUGAUGAGCCGUUGAAGGAAGGACAAGGGAGUUGCUCAAAUGGUGUCGAAUCGGAGUCUCCACCGUCUUAUAAACAAGAUGACUGCAACUGCAUCGCUUUGCCGAAAGUCGAAAUUGGGAAUGCAAAGCUUGAUCCUUAUUAUUUCAAGUACAGGAGGAGGAGCAGUGUUGAUCUGUCUCUGUUGACAUACAAGAGGAGGAGCAUUGUUGACUGCUUUAAGAUUGAUUGCCCUCUGUUGACAUAUAAGAGGAGAGGCAGUGUUGACUAUCGGUUUAUGUUUACGUAUAAGAGGAGGAGGAACUUUGAUCAAUCUAUGUUGACAUAUAAGAGGAGGAGACCUGAAAUCGUUUACGCGAGUUCAAAGAUGCAGCUCGAGGGUCAGUGCUGAAUCCUCAUAGUUCAGAGAUGCAUGCCUGCUAAAGCCAAACAACAAGUCUACCACUAGAAAGCUACAACCUUUUCUAAAUGGUAGGGGAAGUAACUUCAAUUCAUGAUAAGAUUCUAGACUAUGUUAAAGAUCCUUUUCACUUGGCAUGUUUCCAAAGGUGGGCAGAGUAAAGGAAUAUGUGUUCCUUAACCUAAUUAUGAUUCAGUGACAAGCAGUGAAACCCAAGCAAGGAAACAGGGGACUCGCCAAAUCUCUCAAAAUCUGACCUCGCCAAAGCCAAGAACAAGCUACAAAUCCUGUACAGCGAGUGGCUUAUCGUCUUUUUAUGCAAGAAAUGCGUCGUUCAUGUUGAUUUCAUGGAGCUGUGCUCCUACUGCUUCAUCAUUUCGUCAUCCCAUGAAUAUUUAUCUUGCUACCAGUGUGAGCAAAGAGUCCACACAGAUACUGAUUCUGAGUAGCAAAGUGUUGCGCUCUGGUCCAAUUACUUGUUUGCUAUGGAAGUUCUGACCGAUUACUGGGUUCCUUAAUCCCUGACUGGGUGGAGAGGAGUUGUGAGACGUAGGAGCAAUAGGAACAAGUUUGAUUAGGGACUGAGGAAGUUUAGGGUUUUGGCAGUGGAAAUUGCGAGGAAAUGUGAUGCCUUUGAUUUGGAAAGAAGCGGAGACUGAAGAUGCGGAUACUGAUGCCGAUGUUGAUCCUCAAUUGAGUUGUUGUGUUUCUGAAUCAUCUACAGACGUUGGUUGUUUGAAGCUGAAACGGUGGGGGCUUGAUCUUGCAGAAUAAACAUUGGGCGUGAUGGACUGUUGAAGGAUGGAAGUUAUACAAAUGGUGUUGACUUGGAGUCUCCACCUUCUUAUAAACAAGAACACUGCAUCUGUAUCACCAGGCCGAAGGAACGAAUAAUGCAAUGCAAAGUUCGACCUAUUUUUCCAAUUACAGGAGAAGGAGCACUAUUGAUCACUCUGUUAAUAUCCAAGAGGAGGAGCAGUUUUCAUCACUGUAAGAAUUUGAGCACCAUUGAUUGUCCUAUGUUGACAUAUAGCACCAUCGGUUGCUCUUUGUUAACAUAUAAGAGGAGGAUAGCUGAAAUCCUCUACAAUUUUUCGAGAUUUAGUUUGAUUAAAGGUAGCAGCAUCACUAACUUUGAUGAAAGUUGGCUUCAAUUAAGUUUACACUCAUGUCAUGGUUACUCAGGCAUUGGUUGGACAGUGUAAAAGAACAGGAGCAUCAGGAAUCAC
RNA transcript from Rosa chinensis, 2275 nucleotides. RefSeq lists it as uncharacterized. Lineage: Eukaryota; Viridiplantae; Streptophyta; Magnoliopsida; Rosales; Rosaceae. The transcript has 3 exons. The record is from RefSeq and is a predicted model, not a curated record.